GUAUAUCAGAUUCUCAUCCAAGUCAGUGGCUCCAAACAAUGAAGGAAGAAUCUCGAUUUAAUGUUCUCUUUAUUUUUGAGAGACAGAGAGUGAGCAGGGGUGGGGCAGAGAGAGAGGGAGACAGAGGAUCUGAAGCAGGCUCCGCGCUGACAGCCACAAGCCCGAUGCGGGGCUCGAACUCACCAACUGAGAGAUCAUGACCUGAGCCGAAAUGGGACGCUCAACCGACUGAGACACCCGGGCGCCCCAAGAAUCUCGAUUUAAAGGAGCAGUGGGUGACAGAAAUCCCAAGAAGGACACUGAGGAGGCCUCGGGGGCUUCCUCAAGUGAAAUGAGGGGGUCGGAUGGAUCCAUCUGUGCUCUCACACCAGCCUGUUUACCCACUCCCCCUUGAAAAAACGAAUUUCCCCCUCGUGAGGCCUUGAAGUCUGGAAGGGUGUUGUCUACAAUAAAGAGCGCGAGUCAAGAAAGCA
This is a long non-coding RNA of Felis catus (domestic cat), 473 nucleotides long. RefSeq lists it as uncharacterized. The transcript is spliced from 2 exons. The record is from RefSeq and is a predicted model, not a curated record. NCBI's taxonomy places the organism in Eukaryota, Metazoa, Chordata, Mammalia, Carnivora, Felidae.